AAAAAAAAAAAAAAAAAGAAAAAGGCCAAAGAGUUAACAUCCCAAUUAAAGAUGAAAGCUUUUCUUCUGAUUCUGUUA
This 78-nucleotide non-coding RNA is filed under the name Protocruzia adhaerens. The record is from RNAcentral. Lineage: Eukaryota; Ciliophora; Spirotrichea.